UGCCCUCCAUACUACACCUCCUUUCCUAUUUCUCCCCCAUUUUUGACCUAGCCGAAAACUUGUGUGCUCACUCUUUUUUAAGUAUUUUUCGGUUUCUGUCAUUUCCAAAUGAUCUUUUAAUUGAAACCCACUACUUUCUCAUCCAUCUCGAUCAUUGCAAAUCAUACUCAGUUUCUAGUUUUUUAUUUAAUUUGCUGAUUUUUUAUUCGAUCAUCGGCGCUUUCUUGAUGUUUUAACAUCGAUUCUUGGUGGGUUACACUCAUUUUCGGGUGGAGUGACUGAACUGCUUGAGAUUGGUUGUACAUGAAGGCGUUAGAGUUCAGAUCCAAAGUUUUUGGGUAAAGCCCAAACAAGGUAAAGUCUUGAAAGAAUGUGGUGGAAACCUAAUUAAAGCCCAAUCCAAAUCCACAUCAGGUGAUAGAUCUGAGAGAGAUUCAGAGAAGAGGCCUAGUUCUACGAAAUUUCUUAAUGUCUUAAAAUAAACUUUUUUUUUUUAGGAUUUGUAUAUUUUUAAGAUAAUUAUAACUUUAUCACAAUUUUAAGGGAAACUUUUAUAAAUGUAACCAAAUAUCAAAUUAUUUACGGCUCAUGUAACAAAAUCCAUAAAGGUAGCUAUUUUUUAAAUA
Molecule: long non-coding RNA, 626 nt
Organism: Cucumis melo (muskmelon)
Lineage: Eukaryota; Viridiplantae; Streptophyta; Magnoliopsida; Cucurbitales; Cucurbitaceae
Exons: 2
Source: RefSeq, a predicted model, not a curated record